AGCAGCCGCGGUAAUUCCAGCUCCAAUAGCGUAUAUUAAAGUUGUUGCAGUUAAAAAGCUCGUAGUUGAACUUCGGGGUUUACUUAUUGGUCAGGCUUAAUUGUCUGUACUGGUGAGAUGAAUCUCUACCUUCUGAGGAACUUUCAUGUCAUUUAUUUGGUGUGAUUGGAAAUCAGGACUGUUACUUUGAAAAAAUUAGAGUGUUUAAAGCAGGCUAACGUCUGAAUACAUUAGCAUGGAAUAAUGAAAUAGGACGGACUGAUUCUAUUUCGUUGGUUUCUAGGAUCACCGUAAUGAUUAAUAGGGAUAGUUGGGGGCAUUAGUAUUCAAUUGUCAGAGGUGAAAUUCUUGGAUUUAUUGAAGACUAACUACUGCGAAAGCAUUUGCCAAGGAUGUUUUCAUUAAUCAAGAACGAAAGUUAGGGGAUCGAAGACGAUCAGAUACCGUCGUAGUCUUAACCAUAAACUAUGCCGACUAGGGGUCGGACGAAGUUAAUUUUAUAAUGACGCG
RNAcentral lists this ribosomal RNA (510 nucleotides) under uncultured Diversispora. RNAcentral's name for it is "SSU rRNA". It matches the Rfam family "Eukaryotic small subunit ribosomal RNA", at positions 569 to 1078 of the family's 1831-position model. Lineage: Eukaryota; Fungi; Glomeromycota; Glomeromycetes; Diversisporales; Diversisporaceae. The record is from RNAcentral.